RNAcentral lists this transfer RNA (71 nucleotides) under Parvulastra calcarata. Its description in RNAcentral is "tRNA-Pro". The record is from RNAcentral. Lineage: Eukaryota; Metazoa; Echinodermata; Asteroidea; Valvatida; Asterinidae.
UCAGAAAAACAAAACUACGAAUUUGCACUAGCAACUCCCAAAGCUACCGUUCUUCUUUAAACUAUUUUCUG